UGCUGUUCUUCACCUGAGUUCCCUGUCAUGAGUCAUUUGUAUGUAGUCAGUAAAUUUUGUCCCCUGUUGAUAUCCUUUACACCAGUACUACGUUAGUCCAUGUUCAAAGGUAUUCUGUGCUUCCUGUCCAGAGAAGGUAGUGAAAAUGUGAAAAUAGUGAGUAGAUUUCUUGUUGUUUGAAAUGGUUAAAAAAGGCUGAA
This is a long non-coding RNA of Melanotaenia boesemani (Boeseman's rainbowfish), 200 nucleotides long. RefSeq lists it as uncharacterized. The transcript is spliced from 3 exons. The record is from RefSeq and is a predicted model, not a curated record. Lineage: Eukaryota; Metazoa; Chordata; Actinopteri; Atheriniformes; Melanotaeniidae.